CACGGAGGGUGCAAAUGAAUAUUGUUAGCUUACAGUUAUAUUAUAAAAGGAUUUAGGAUUAAAAAUGAAUUUAUUAGGUGAAAUUUUAAGUUUAUAUAAUUUUUAUAUAAAGUAUAUAGAAGCUGGGAAAUUUAAAAAUUAAACUA
RNAcentral lists this ribosomal RNA (146 nucleotides) under Scopura longa. Its description in RNAcentral is "partial 12S ribosomal RNA". Lineage: Eukaryota; Metazoa; Arthropoda; Insecta; Plecoptera; Scopuridae. The record is from RNAcentral.